RNAcentral lists this ribosomal RNA (465 nucleotides) under uncultured bacterium. RNAcentral's name for it is "bacterial SSU rRNA". It matches the Rfam family "Bacterial small subunit ribosomal RNA", at positions 338 to 795 of the family's 1533-position model. The record is from RNAcentral.
CCUACGGGGGGCAGCAGUGGGGAAUAUUGCACAAUGGGCGCAAGCCUGAUGCAGCCAUGCCGCGUGUAUGAAGAAGGCCCUAGGGUUGUAAAGUACUUUCAGUCGGGAGGAAGGCGUUGAUGCUAAUAUCAUCAACGAUUGACGUUACCGACAGAAGAAGCACCGGCUAACUCCGUGCCAGCAGCCGCGGUAAUACGGAGGGUGCAAGCGUUAAUCGGAAUUACUGGGCGUAAAGCGCACGCAGGCGGUUGAUUAAGUUAGAUGUGAAAUCCCCGGGCUUAACCUGGGAAUGGCAUCUAAGACUGGUCAGCUAGAGUCUUGUAGAGGGGGGUAGAAUUCCAUGUGUAGCGGUGAAAUGCGUAGAGAUGUGGAGGAAUACCGGUGGCGAAGGCGGCCCCCUGGACAAAGACUGACGCUCAGGUGCGAAAGCGUGGGGAGCAAACAGGAUUAGAUACCCCUGUAGUC